AACUAACUAACUAACUAACUAACUAACUAACUAACUAACUAACUAACUAACUAACUAACUAACCAACCAGCCCCCGCAUGCCCGGCCGGCGGGAGCGGAGCGCACCGCGGGCACGGCCAGCCGCACUAAGCUGCGAAGCCAAGGGUGCCCUACACCCAAUCCCCGGCUAAGCCUUCAUGCUUCGUGCCAGUUGUCACAAGUGUUCUAUUUACAGAAUCAGUAAGUGUGUAAGUAUCUGAAGGAUGGGUGUCAGGAGGAUGGACCAGGCUCUUCUCAGUGGUGCCCAGCAAUUGGGACAAGAGGCAAUGGGCAGUUUCAUCUGAACAUAAGGAAGAACUUGUGUGCUGUGAGGGUGACCAAGCGCUGGAACAGAUUGCCCAGAGAAGCUGUGGAGUCUCCCUCACUGGAGAAUUCAAGAACAGCCUGGACACAAUCCUCUGCUCUAGGAUGGCCCUGCUUGAGCACGGAGGUUGGACCAGAUGACCCCCUGUGGUCCUUUCCAAUCUGACCUGUUCUGUGAGUCUGUGAUCACAGCAUCUUCAGAGUAGGAAGGGACACACAAGGUUCAGCAGAGUCCAGCCCAAACGAAUAUUUAGUAGGAAAAGUUUGUAUUUAGGCACCUUUUGAGAAGGAUUUGGAAAAUUUCAGGGUUUCUUUAUAUAUACAGAAUCUCCCUUUUCUCUUAAAACAUUUACCCUUUGCCUAAAAAUUUACCUUGAAGAGAAUUUCACCAAUCUUUUCACACAGGCUCAGAGCCCUUGGAGCUGAUGAUUCAUGUUCAACCUGGCCUACCCUGAGUCAUUAGCAUGGACAGCUACACCAUUGGCCGCCAGGGACGGCAGCCCUCCCUUCGCCUCUCCUGGGGCACAGGAUUUGAAGAUAAAUUCAUAUUGCAGAGGAUAGGAACCCUGAAGUGUAAGAAAUCUGUAACAAAAUAUUUAAGAAACGUGUAUACAGUUGUGAAAGUUUUGAUAAUGCUGACCAAAUGUGGCCUGCAGCCUUAUUAAAUGAAUAAAUUAUGAUAGUCAUAUUAAGGCCUUCUUUUAGUUGAGAAGUAGAAAGGAGGUGUUGAAUAAUCUCCUAUUUUGACAAGGUUUCCAGAUUCCAAAUGCUCCAACUAGUUUACGAUCUUUUUCUUUGCUGUUAUUAUAUGUUCUAUACUAUUAAUAUAUAAGUAUAUGGUAUUUAUUGCACAUAUAAUGGACACGGUUAUACAGUUUUGCAUAUAAUAUAUAAUUAUGCAAUAUAGAUCUAAUUGUAUUAUGCACUUUCCAUUGCACAUAUAUUCUACAACAGUGCUGAGGUUAGGAGGCCUCCAGCAGGGGCAGUAAAAUGUGUGCAUUGUGCAUUUGUGCUUCAGCCUCUCCGCCGCCCAGUCUGUGUGUAUGCGUUACAGGUAUGUAGGUACCAGAGGAGCUGAGAUACAGAAUAUUCUGCAGGAUGUGACACAGAGGCAGCCAUUCCUAGGAGCCACUACUCUAUGAAAUGAUUCAUUCUCUUUUGCCCAAACCCUUAAAAAAUUGGGAAAUUCUUGUUUGUCACUGCUGUGGACUGUCACAAUGACCUCAUGCAUAAAAUGUGCCGUGAGUCACCAAAGAUAAUCUUUUUGAAAAGGCAAGAAUGCUCGGACAUCUACCUGUAGCUGAAAAAAGAAGCACUGUCAGUGACCAGACUUCUCCUAUGUUUGUUUCCAUUUCAACAAAUUGGCAUCAUCUUCUAAACACCCCAUGGGCUCUUUGGCAUGCUACAACUCAGCAGAUGCAUUGUCUCCUGGGCUUUACAGCUUCUUCU
Long non-coding RNA from Parus major (Great Tit), 1791 nucleotides. RefSeq lists it as uncharacterized. The record is from RefSeq and is a predicted model, not a curated record. NCBI's taxonomy places the organism in Eukaryota, Metazoa, Chordata, Aves, Passeriformes, Paridae. The transcript has 3 exons.